Molecule: ribosomal RNA, 1361 nt
Filed under: metagenome
Description: bacterial LSU rRNA
Rfam family: Bacterial large subunit ribosomal RNA
Source: RNAcentral
UCGAAGUCAUUGAUCCUAUGCUGCCUAGAAAAGCCCAGCAGCGAGUUGACAUGGUGCCCGUACCCCAAACCAACACAGGUGGACAGGUAGAGCAUACCAAGGCGAGUGGGAUAACUAUGGUUAAGGAACUCGGCAAAUUGCCUCCGUAACUUCGGGAGAAGGAGGACCCCAGUAGCGUGAUGAGACUUGCUCUCUGAGCGUGAAGGGGUGGCACAAAAUUGAGGGAAGCGACUGUUUACCAAAAACACAGCAGCGUGCUAAGCCGUAAGGCGCUGUAUACGCUGUGACUCCUGCCCGGUGCUGGAAGGUUACGGGGAUGGGUUAGUCCUUCGGGACGAAGCUCUGAACCUAAGCCCCAGUAAACGGCGGCCGUAACUAUAACGGUCCUAAGGUAGCGAAAUUCCUUGUCGAGUAAGUUCCGACCUGCACGAAUGGAGUAACGACUUCCCUACUGUCUCAACCAUAGACCCAGCGAAAUUGAAGUACGAGUAAAGAUGCUCGUUAGCUGCAGAAGGACGGAAAGACCCCGUGGACCUUUACUAUAACUUGAUGUUGUGUUUUGUCAUAUGUUGUGUAGGAUAGGUGGGAGACUUGGAAGCAUGGACGCUAGUCUGUGUGGAGUCAUCGUUGAAAUACCACCCUGCAUAUGGUGAGGCUCUAACCUAGACCCGUUAUCCGGGUUGGGGACAGCGUCAGGCGGGUAGUUUAACUGGGGCGGUUGCCUCCUAAAGAGUAACGGAGGCGCCCAAAGGUUCCCUCAGCCUGGUUGGCAAUCAGGCGUUGAGUGCAAUGGCAAAAGGGAGCUUGACUGCGAGACCUACAAGUCGAGCAGGAGCGAAAGCUGGGCAUAGUGAUCCGGCGGUUGCGUGUGGAAGCGCCGUCGCUCAACGGAUAAAAGGUACCCCGGGGAUAACAGGCUAAUCUUGCCCAAGCGUCCAUAGCGACGGCAAGGUUUGGCACCUCGAUGUCGGCUCAUCGCAUCCUGGGGCUGAAGCAGGUCCCAAGGGUUGGGCUGUUCGCCCAUUAAAGCGGUACGCGAGCUGGGUUCAGAACGUCGUGAGACAGUUCGGUCCCUAUCCUCUGCAGCCGGAGGUGAAUUGAGGAAAGCUGUCCCUAGUACGAGAGGACCGGGACGGACGCAGCUCUCGUGUGCCAGUUGUCCUGCCAAGGGCAUGGCUGGUUAGCGACCUGCGGAAAGGAUAACCGCUGAAAGCAUCUAAGCGGGAAGCCUCUUCCAAGAUGAAUUCACCCACAGGGUUAACCUGGUAAGGCCCGUGGUAGACCACCACGUUGAUAGGCCGGAAGUGUAAGCGUGGCAACACGUUCAGCUGACCGGUACUAAUCGGCCGAGGGCUUGAGUG